CAGGCCAUCCUGUGACCUCGGGGUUCACAAGGGUCAGGCACACCAGGCUCGCUGGAGGCCCGCCUGCCCCGCGGGUGUGAUAUCUGCUGUGAUCCCUUUCUGAGAGUCGCUAGAGUUUUAGACGGAGAAAUGCGUGUGUGACCGGCUCUCGGUUGGUGAGGCACUGACGUUCCACAGUCGGUUGAGUGACCCCCUUGUGGGGGUCCCAGAGACAGCUGCACUGCUGCGGUCUUCUUUUCCAAACCGGUCCUCUACAUAGGAUAAGUGUGAGUUUUACGGCGAAGAUGAGAUAGGCCUGCAGCCCUAGCUCUGUGAAGCAGGGUGGUCUUGAACGAGACCCUCGAACAAAUGACAGGUGACUCGUGGCCGUGCCACCUGAAGAGGGACAGGCUCAGCGGAGCUGGUGGAGUGCCCUCUGAGCAGAAGACCACACUGUGUUGGCAAAGCCUUCCUUAGAUGGCAGAGGCAAACCUGUGUUUGAGAUGAGAACAUACCCUCGAAGCCUCAGACAGCUUCCGGACUCCGACAGGUUUCAAGGUCGGAGCCGCCUCUAUUUUUGCAGCUGUUUUCUCUGAAUUGGUGCUGGGCUUUGUGGCUUUGCCACAAUGUUGAUCAGAGAGGGCAGUGCUUCCGGCUGGGCUAUUUCACCCAAUAAGGAGGACUUUCUGCUUUUUUCAUCCUGAGAAAUGAGUGUUAAUGGGAAGAUGCUACUCUGUGGUGCUAUUUGAGGAGUCAAAGAUCUGUCUCCAUCGCUCUCUGCUUUCGGACUGGCUGCAGAUGAGGAUCAAUUAGGAACACAUUAAGGUAAAACAGUUUCUACCUGGGAAAGGUGAGUAUUAUAAUGAUUUCCCCCUUGAGCAACUCGGGGGCGGGGGGUUAGGAGCACCGACCCCAACCCCUUCAGUCAAAAAUCUUCAUAUAACUUUGACUUUCCAAAAACUUAACUAUUUAUUUAUUUAUUUAUUUAUUUAUUUAUUUAUUUAUUUGACA
Molecule: long non-coding RNA, 990 nt
Organism: Ailuropoda melanoleuca (giant panda)
Lineage: Eukaryota; Metazoa; Chordata; Mammalia; Carnivora; Ursidae
Exons: 3
Source: RefSeq, a predicted model, not a curated record